This 468-nucleotide ribosomal RNA is filed under the name uncultured bacterium. RNAcentral describes it as "partial 16S ribosomal RNA". It matches the Rfam family "Bacterial small subunit ribosomal RNA", at positions 28 to 507 of the family's 1533-position model. The record is from RNAcentral.
GACGAACGCUGGCGGCGUGCUUAACACAUGCAAGUCGAACGGAAAGGCCCUGCUUUUGCGGGGUGCUCGAUUGGCGAACGGGUGAGUAACACGUGAGUAACCUGCCCUUGACUUUGGGAUAACUUCAGGAAACUGGGGCUAAUAUCGGAUAGGAGCUCCUGCUGCAUGGUGGGGGUUGGUAAGUGUCGGCGGUUGGGGAUGGACUCGCGGCUUAUCAGCCUGUUGGUGGGGUAGUGGCUUACCAAGGCUUUGACGGGUAGCCGGCCUGAGAGGGUGACCGGCCACAUUGGGACUGAGAUACGGCCCAGACUCCUACGUGAGGCAACAGUGGGGAAUAUUGCAGAAUGGGCGCAAGCCUGAUGCGGCAGCCCCGCGUGCGGGAUGACGGCCUUCGGGUUGUAAACCGCUUUCGCCUGUGACGAAGCGUGAGUGACGGUAAUGGGUAAAGAAGCACCGGCUAACUACGUG